AGUAGUAGCAAAACUCAAGUGCAAGAAGCUGAGAGUCACAUGGCCCUGUUCAGCUUCUGCUUUCUUUAGCUUGCCCAUGGUGAUGUGAAGAUGAGAAGAAAUAGCAAGGCCCAACCAGUUCUUCAUCUGGAGACAGUUCAACGUUCUGCAAACCAGAUCUUCAGGAAUUUUACUGGGAUAAUUAUCCAAAUAAAUUGCAAGCAUUCUAUCCAAAUGGAGCUCUUUCUGAGAUGAAGAGAAUUCUCAAUGUCAAGAUUUGAACAAGAAGAGAAUGGAAUACACAAUAUGGACAUCCAUAAAAAUUCAUCAGAGAGCAUUUUACUACUGAGCUGCAAAGAUGACAAGAGCACCUCAAAGGCAGCAGCCUCAAGGAGCAGCCAUGGCCCCAGACUUGUCGCACGGAUGCAGAAAACUUAAUGGAGGAGGCUGAGGUCAGAAUGGGAAGAGUUUUUAAAAAAUAAAAAGGGGAGCUAA
RNAcentral lists this long non-coding RNA (474 nucleotides) under Homo sapiens (human). Its description in RNAcentral is "mir-99a-let-7c cluster host gene". The record is from RNAcentral. Lineage: Eukaryota; Metazoa; Chordata; Mammalia; Primates; Hominidae.